UACGUAGGGGGCGAGCGUUGUCCGGAUUUACUGGGCGUAAAGGGCGUGCAGGCGGUUUGUUAAGUGCAGGGUGAAAGCUCCCGGCUCAACUGGGAGAGGUCCUUGCAUACUGGCGAACUCGAGGGAGGCAGAGGAAAGUGGAAUUCCCGGUGUAGUGGUGAUAUGCGUAGAUAUCGGGAGGAACACCUGUGGCGAAGGCGGCUUUCUGGGCCUUACCUGACGCUGAGACGCGAAAGCGUGGGGAGCGAACCGG
This 253-nucleotide ribosomal RNA is filed under the name uncultured bacterium. RNAcentral describes it as "partial 16S ribosomal RNA". It matches the Rfam family "Bacterial small subunit ribosomal RNA", at positions 524 to 776 of the family's 1533-position model. The record is from RNAcentral.